GACAGAGGUGCCAAGCGUUAGGCGGAAUCACUGGGCUUAAAGCGUGUGUAGGCGGAAUUGUAAGUACCUUGUGAAAUCCCACGGCUCAACCGUGGAACUGCUUGGUAUACUGCUUUUCUUGAGCCACUUAGGGGCUACCGGAACAAAUGGUGGAGCGGUGAAAUGCGUAGAUAUCGCUUGGAACGCCAACGGUGAAAACAGGUUGCUGGGGGUGUGCUGACGCUGAGACACGAAAGCCAGGGGAGCAAACGGG
This 253-nucleotide ribosomal RNA is filed under the name uncultured bacterium. RNAcentral's name for it is "partial 16S ribosomal RNA". It matches the Rfam family "Bacterial small subunit ribosomal RNA", at positions 524 to 776 of the family's 1533-position model. The record is from RNAcentral.